AUACUUACCUGGAUAGGGUCAAUGGGUGAUCAAGAAGGCCCAUGGCCUAGAUUGGUGACUUUCAUUGCACUUAGGAGGGGUGCCCGUCUAAGGUCUAUCCAAGUGGUAGAGCCUAUGUCAUAAUUUGUGGCAGUGGGGGCUUGCGUUCGUGCGGCCCUUG
Cornus florida is the source of this 160-nucleotide small nuclear RNA. RefSeq annotates it as U1 spliceosomal RNA. The transcript has a single exon. The record is from RefSeq and is a predicted model, not a curated record. Lineage: Eukaryota; Viridiplantae; Streptophyta; Magnoliopsida; Cornales; Cornaceae.